GGUGGCAUAGCCAAGAGGAAGGCGGGGGGUCUGCAACACUCCCUUGGUUUGGUUCAACUCCAAAUGCCACCUCCA
RNAcentral lists this transfer RNA (75 nucleotides) under Desulfocurvibacter africanus PCS. Its description in RNAcentral is "Desulfovibrio africanus PCS tRNA-OTHER". It matches the Rfam family "tRNA". Rfam says of the family: Transfer RNA (tRNA) molecules are approximately 80 nucleotides in length. Their secondary structure includes four short double-helical elements and three loops (D, anti-codon, and T loops). The record is from RNAcentral. Lineage: Bacteria; Pseudomonadati; Thermodesulfobacteriota; Desulfovibrionia; Desulfovibrionales; Desulfovibrionaceae.